GCUCUGUCGUCUGGGAGAACAGCUCAGGGUCAGUGAUAUUCUAGAGCAUAUAGGACUUUCAGAAAAAAAAUGUAUCCAGAGGCAGCAGGCAUGAUUGACCACUCCAGUAGUUUAUAUGCAAUUUUCUCUUACAGUACCUGAGUAUUUUUUUCAGUGUUAGUGAUUGGGCAGUGUCAUUUCUCUGUAACAGUAAGAGCGGCUCUGCAUUCAGAGAAUUAAUUGUUUAACAGAUGGAAUGGUCUGGGUUGGACAUUAAGUUCUGCUGUAAAU
Molecule: non-coding RNA, 270 nt
Organism: Suncus etruscus (white-toothed pygmy shrew)
Lineage: Eukaryota; Metazoa; Chordata; Mammalia; Eulipotyphla; Soricidae
Source: RefSeq, a predicted model, not a curated record